UCGUGGGGAGCGUCUGCGAUCGCCUCGGGGCGGGCGGGCGGGGGUCGGCCGCCGCCUUCAGGGGGUCUGCGAGCGCCGUGGGGAGGGCUGGGGCUCAGGCGCCGUCCCGGGGAGGCGCCGUCAGCCAUCGCCGCAGGAGGUGCGGAGGUCCAGCGCCCGCCGAGAGCGGCCAGGAGCCCGGAGCAGCAGAGGGCACUUGGCACUCGUCCCUGCAGGGAGCACCGGAGCACCAAUUCGCAGCUGGUGGUGGAGCAGACGGAGGAGGCAUCCAUCGUGUGGCACUGCGAGGCAAGAGCGAGCAAGAAGAGGAGCGGAAGAAGCCCGGGAGCCUGAAGUGGAGGGAAGAGAAGGGCACUCUGGGCAAAGGGACCUCCCUGUCACCGGGGCUGUGGUCACACAAGGGCGUUGCCAGCACCUGUGGUGCCCUGGCUGGCUUUGUGCUGGAGGAUGACCUCCCUGUAACCAGGGCUUGGGUCUUUGCUUUUGUUGGCCUUUUGCCACGUUGCCCCAUGGUUAGGCUGCCCAGAGAGAGUGGCAACCCUGUAAGAAGGGUGAGAGCCGCCAUCGUCUCUGCACCUGGGGGGGGAAGUAGAGCUCCUGAAGACAUGGUGUUGUGCUGCAGCCAGGAUGGCCAGCCCAUAACUCUGGCGCAGGUCAGAGCCUCAGGCUCCAUGGGGCUUUUGAGCAUGCCAAGCCGAGGGGGACUGCCCUGUAAGCAGGGCUGUGCACAUCCCCUGUGCUCAACGGGAGGUGCUGGGAGGGACCCCCUGUAAGCAGGCGGGUGUCCCUGGCCCCGGCCUUUCAGAGGCGUGGGGCUGAGAUGAGUGGGGCUGGGCAUGCCCUGCUCUAGCCCUCUUUCUCUCUGCUCUGAGCCCUGGGAGCAGCUUGGGAGAAAGAGGACCACGGGGGAAGGCAGGAGGCUGGGGGGAAGGGGCCCCCUCUGGGGAUUGGGGAUGUGCCUGCAAGCGGGGCCCGGGUCCUGCCUGGGCAGCCCUGGCACUGGGAAGCCUUUUUAUUUCCUUGAGCUGGGCCGCUGCCCUGGAAGCAGGGCUGGGGCCUCUGCUCUUUUGCCUCCCUCCGGGCCACUGGGCACCAUGGCGGUGAGAAGGGUGGGUGAGCCCGGGGGGGUAGAGGGUAGGAGGGGGGAAGGAUAGCUGGGGGUCGGGGAGUGCUGUGGGGACCUCCCUCCGGGGGCUGGCGUCCCGCUCUCCUCCAGGUGGAGGAGCUGGCACUUGACUGUGCCCUCCUUCCUUGGCAGCAGCUCCUGGACAAGAAAGACAAGGCCUGGUGUGGAACUGCAAGGCAAGAGCGAGCGAGAGGAGGAGGGGUGGGCUGAAGAGGGGGAAAGAGAAAGGUGCUCUGGGCAAAGGGACCUCCCUGUCACCGGGGCUGUGGUCACACAAAAGCAUUGCCAGCACCUUUGGUGCCGUGGCUGGCUUUGCACUGGACGACCUCCCUGUAACCAGGGCUCAGGUCGUUGGCCUUUUGCCACGUUGCCCCAUGGUUAGGCUGCCCAGAGAGAGUGGCAACCCUGUAAGGAGGGUGAGAGGCACCGUCUCCACACCCGAGGGGGAAAUGGAGCUCUCUGGACCCCAAGCCCGCCCUGUAAGCAGGGGAGGGCUUUUUCCCCGCGCCCCCCUCCUCUGGCCCCGGCGGCUUUCUGCCUGCUGGCAGCCUGGCCAGCGUGACCCCCCUGGAGUUGGGGCGUGUCAUGGCAUUUGCCCUUUGGCCACCCGUGGAGCCCCUUGGCAUGUUGAGGCUCCUCUGGCCUCCAUGCAGCCCAGGGGGCAGGUCUGAGGCUCUCCUCUCCUGCUUGGGGGUAGGGAAGGCUCCCCAGAGCUUGGCUGCACAGAGCUCGCUCUCUCUUCUGGGAAGUUCUGGUUUUCCCUGCCUGUGUCUGCGUCCGAGUCCGUGUCUGCGUCCGUGUGAAUGAGUGAGCGAAUGAGCUUCUUGUUUAGGCCCCUGUUAAAAUCGCUGCAGCUUAGCUUAGCUUAGCUUAGCUUAGUUUAGCUUAGCUUAGUUUAAACUUCCCAGGAGGGAAAGAAGGGCUCUGUGCAGCAGCGGGGGGUCCCCUCUGAGCCCGCGAGUGGAGGGAGAGUCCGGGCUUGCCCCUUCUUUCCAAGGACGGACCGGAGCCGCCUAGUCGUAGCACGGGCAGCACGACCUGCCUGUAGUCCGGGCCUGGGUCUCUGCCUGCCUGGCUGCCUGUCCUGCUGGCGACCUGGCCAGCGUGACAGCCCUGUACUCGGGGCGUGUGUCACGAGCCGUGGAGCCCUCUGUCCCCAGGAGCAGCCCGCCCUCCGUGUAAGCAGGGCUGGGGAGGCUGCCCUAGCCAGGCACCAGGAACGAGCCCUCCCUCGCCCUUUAGAGGGUGCAGGUUGAGGAAGCGCUGUGCCAGAGGGCGCAGUCCUGCCUUUGGCGCUGCUUUUGGCUGGGGCGACCUCCCCGCAGUUGGGGUCGAGGUCGCUCCCUGGGCUCCUGAAGACGUGGUGUUGUGCUGCAGCCAAGACGGCCAGCCCGUAACUGGGGCGCAGGUCGGAGGCUCAGUGGGGCUUGUUGGGAGUGUGUGCUGAGCCCAGGGGGACUGCCCUGUAAGUAGGGUUGUGUGUGCCCCCUGCGCUCGGUGGGAGGUGCUUGGAGGGACCCCCUGUAAUCAGGUGGGUGUCCCUGGCCCCGGCGUUUCAGAGGCAAAGAUUUUGAAGUUGUGUCUUCUUACCACAGAAUUGGAAUGGCUUCUAAAAAUCUAGGGAAUAGCACUGAGCCAAGUACCUCCCCCAGACCCAUAAAAACCAUCCCAAAAGCGCCAAAAUGCUCUUGUGUGACCACAGCCCUGGUGACACAGGGAGGUCCCUUUGCCCAGAGCGCCUUUCUCUCUCCCUUUCUUCAGCCUGCCCCUCCUCCUCUCGCUCGCUCUUGCCUUGUGGUUCCACGCACGAUGGAUGCCUCUUCUUUCUUUCUUUCUUCUCCGGGAGCUGCUGCCAAGGAAGGAGGGCGCAGUCAAGCACCAGCUCCUCUGCCUGGAGGAGAGAGGGACGCUGGCCCUCGGAGGGACCUCCCCACAGCGUUCCCCGGUCCCUGGCCAUCCUUCCCCCCUUCUACCCCCUACCGCUCCAGGCUCAGCUGCCUUAGACCCGCUUUUCUCACUGUGUGGUGCCCAGCAGCCUGGAUGUUUAAAGAGCAGAGGCCCCAGCCCUGCUUCCGGGGCGGUGGCCCAGCUCAGGGCAAUAAAAGGGCUUCCCAGUGCCAGGGCUGCCUGGGCAGGACCUGGGCCCUGCUUGCAGGCACGUCCCCGGUGCCCAGAACGGGCCCCUUCCCCCCAGCCUCCCGCCUUCCCCCGUGGUUCUCUUUCUCCCAAGCUGCUCCUGGGGCUGAGAGCAGAGAGAAAGGGGACCAGGGCAGGGCAGGGCAAGGCAGGGCAGGGCAAGGCAGCAGAUUGAGGGUGGCAAGCACCACUUGCAGGCCCCAAACACCAGUCACCCUACAACCAGCUGCUCCGCAUUGAAGUGGCAGCUUCUCCCAAGUGAUGAGGAGCCCACCUCUGGAAGUUCUUCUGCCCAAGCCCCCAAAACCUCCCAGGAAAAGCCCUUGCAACAGUCACAAGCCACCACUGCUGAUUCACUUGCCUUCAGGGCAGAAAGUGCCCAGCACUCUUGAUAGUGCUCAGCUGGCAGCCUGUGUGGGGUGACCGCCCUGUUAGCAGGGUGCGGGUCAGGGUGCCCCUGAAUCGGAGAGAAGGAGCCUCCGUGGGCCUUUGGGACCAGGGCUGCCCUGUAAGUGAGGGCCCGGCCGGUGCCCUGGAGUCCUGGGCGCUUUGCAGUCCAGGCAGCGGCUCGAGCCCCCUGUAAGCAGGGGUGCAGCCUCUUUGGCCGCUGCUUUGCAUGCCCAGCUGGAUUUGCCCAGGGUGCCUGCCUCCGAGCCCAGCUCCAGCACUGGCGGGAACGCCGCAGGCGGCAGUGGUCGUGGCCGGGGGAGCACCAGAGCAUCAAUUUGCGGCCGCUGGUGGAGAAGAAAGAAGAGGCAUCCAUCACGUGGCAGGAACUGUGAGGCAAGAGUGAGCGAGAGAGGAGAAGCGGCAUUGGGCUGAAGAAGGGGCAAGAGCACGGCACUCCUGGGAAGGCAAUCUCCCUGUCUUUGGGGCUGGGAAGCCUAAAGCAGCCCUGGCCCUUUGGGCAGGUUGUCUGUGCUUCUGGAGCAGGUACUUGGCUCAUUGCAGGUCUCAAGAUUUUUAGAAGCUAGCUGCUCCGCUUCUGCAUUAAGAUGACACGACUUCCCAAAGAUGUCUCAGAACGACUUUUUGUACCUUGAUGUUGCUGCACCAGCUGUGGGGAGUGGAAGGGCUCUGCAGCCACCCAAAAUGUCCUUUGAGGCUGUGCGCGUGCCAGGGGACAAGUACUCAAGAGCAGGGAUUUUGAGGCGGUUUCCCCUGUUCUGAAUGCUUCUCCCUCAGCACCUGCACGGGGGAGGAAGCUGCUGGACCUCAGCCGCUGGAGGAACGCGUUCCUCCUCUCUGUCCCAAAACAGCCUCUGUCCCUGCCCUUUGCCCAGCUAUUCAGUGCUGGGGGUACCCAAUAAAAUGCUUUCUCCAA
Molecule: long non-coding RNA, 4586 nt
Organism: Aquila chrysaetos chrysaetos
Lineage: Eukaryota; Metazoa; Chordata; Aves; Accipitriformes; Accipitridae
Exons: 3
Source: RefSeq, a predicted model, not a curated record